AUGCAGAUCUUCGUGAAGACGCUGACGGGGAAGACCAUCACCCUCGAGGUGGAGAGCAGCGACACCAUCGACGCCGUCAAGGCAAAGAUCCAGGACAAGGAAGGCAUCCCUCCGGACCAGCAGCGCCUCAUCUUCACGGGGAAGCAGCUGGACGACGGCCGCACCCUCGCCGACUACAACAUCCAGAAGGAGUCCACGCUCCACCUUGUGCUUCGCCUCCGCGGCGGCGGCUGCAUGAUCGAGCCCAACCUCAAGGCCCUCGCUCAGAAGUACAACCAGGGCAAGCUCAUCUGCCGCAAGUGCUAUUCACGCCUGCCUCCCAGGGCCAAGAGCUGCCGCAAGAAGAAGUGUGGCCACAGCAACCAGGUGUGA
This 372-nucleotide ribosomal RNA is filed under the name Triticum aestivum (bread wheat). RNAcentral describes it as "partial small subunit ribosomal RNA". Lineage: Eukaryota; Viridiplantae; Streptophyta; Magnoliopsida; Poales; Poaceae. The record is from RNAcentral.